UCGCCUCUUGCAACAAUCAAGUAUAAGAGGUCCCGCCUGCCCAGUGACUAAUUUCAACGGCCGCGGUAUCAUGACCGUGCAAAGGUAGCGUAAUCACUUGUCUUUUAAAUAAAGACCUGUAUGAAAGGCAAAACGAAAGUUCAACUGUCUCUUUAAUCCAAUCAAUAAAAUUUAUCUCUCCGUGCAGAAGCGGAAAUAAAUAUAUAAGACGAGAAGACCCUAUGGAGCUUUAAACACACUAUUAACUACUACAAUAUUUUAAACCAACAGGCAAAAAAUCAUAAACCACAUAGCCAUAAUAUAAGUUUUAGGUUGGGGCGACCGCGGAAGAAAAAAAAUCCUCCGAGAUAAACAAUUUAGAAUAACACUUCGAAAAUUAAAACAUUUAUUAUAAAUGAUCCACUAAGUGACCAACGAACCAAGUACCCUAGGA
RNAcentral lists this ribosomal RNA (433 nucleotides) under Tylototriton asperrimus (black knobby newt). RNAcentral's name for it is "partial 16S ribosomal RNA". It matches the Rfam family "Bacterial large subunit ribosomal RNA", at positions 1816 to 2473 of the family's 2925-position model. The record is from RNAcentral. Lineage: Eukaryota; Metazoa; Chordata; Amphibia; Caudata; Salamandridae.